UUAUAUUUAAUUAAUAAUAUUAAAUUGCAAAUUUAAAGUAGAUAAAAUAAAAAUCUAAGGCUU
Molecule: transfer RNA, 63 nt
Filed under: Maoricicada campbelli
Lineage: Eukaryota; Metazoa; Arthropoda; Insecta; Hemiptera; Cicadidae
Description: tRNA-Cys
Source: RNAcentral